RNAcentral lists this ribosomal RNA (489 nucleotides) under Blastocystis sp. RNAcentral's name for it is "SSU rRNA". It matches the Rfam family "Eukaryotic small subunit ribosomal RNA", at positions 460 to 953 of the family's 1831-position model. The record is from RNAcentral. Lineage: Eukaryota; Bigyra; Opalinata; Blastocystidae.
GGAGGUAGUGACAAUAAAUCUCAAUACGAAGCCUUUGGUUUUGUAAUUGAAUUGAGAACAAUGUACAAUCGUUAUCGAUAAACAAUUGGAGGGCAAGUCUGGUGCCAGCAGCCGCGGUAAUUCCAGCUCCAAUAGCGUAUAUUAACGUUGUUGCAGUUAAAAAGCUCGUAGUUGAAGUUUAGAUAAUUUGUUGAGGGUGUUAGUAUUCGUACUAUCUGCCCUCAAUAGAUUAUCGACUUCCAGGUAAGCUCAAUAAUCCCUCCGGGGACUAUCGAGCCAGACUGGUCUUUUACUGUGAGAAAAUUAGAGUGUUUAAAGCAAACUUCAUAUGUUUGAAUAGAUUAGCAUGGAAUAAUAAGAUUGGCUUUCAUAGUCGAUUUUUUGGUUUGUUUAUGAAAGCAAGAUUAAUAGGGACAGUUGGGGGUAUUCAUAUUCAAUAGCUAGAGGUGAAAUUCUAUGAUUUAUGGAAGAUGAACAAGUGCGAAAGCA